CAGACCGAAGCAGGGAAGUGUUAAGUUGGAUGGAGGGAGUCAUGCAUGGGUAUCCUUGGGCACCACAAGUAAGGAUUCCUGAGUGCUGCAAGGCAACCCACAUUUCUUUUGAAUUCUGCAGUUGCUCCAGUUUGAAGACACUUGUUUCUCAUGAAAAGUUUUACUAAUAUUAUAAAUUCACUUCACUAAGAAGAGAUAGGACCAUACUGUAUAUUGUGUCUUUGUCCAUUAAAAGUUGCCACAUUUAAAAAAGUAUGAUGUUUUCUCUUAUUACCAAAGGAGUAUGCCUGUCAUAUAAUAUCUGAGUUAAAAAUGUGUUCAUGUAGUUCUGUAUUCAAUUUUGCUUAAAAAUAUGAGACCAAAUGGCG
This 368-nucleotide long non-coding RNA is filed under the name Fukomys damarensis (Damara mole-rat). Its description in RNAcentral is "lncRNA (ENSFDAG00000024827.1)". The record is from RNAcentral. Lineage: Eukaryota; Metazoa; Chordata; Mammalia; Rodentia; Bathyergidae.